This 560-nucleotide ribosomal RNA is filed under the name uncultured bacterium. RNAcentral's name for it is "partial 16S ribosomal RNA". The record is from RNAcentral.
ACGGUUACCUUGUUACGACUUAGCCCCAGUCACCGAUUUCGCUCUAGGGCGCGCCUCGCGGCGACGCACUUCAAGCGCCCUCGGCUCCCAUGGCUUGACGGGCGGUGUGUACAAGGCCCGGGAACGUAUUCACCGCGCCAUGGCUGAUGCGCGAUUACUAGCGAAUCCAGCUUCACGGAGUCGGGUUGCAGACUCCGAUCCGAACUGAGAGUGGAUUUCGGGUUCCGCUCGGCGUCGCCGCCUGGCUUCCCGCUGUACCACCCAUUGUAACACGUGUGUCGCCCCGGACGUAAGGGCCGUGCUGAUUUGACGUCAUCCCCGCCUUCCUCGCGGCUUGCGCCGGCAGUCCGUGCAGAGUCCUCAGCGUUAUCUGUUAGCAACUGCACGCGGGGGUUGCGCUCGUUAUGGCACUUAAGCCGACACCUCACGGCACGAGCUGACGACAACCAUGCAGCACCUCGGGGAGUGUCCCGUGGGAAACAGGCGUCUCUGCCUGCGGCACUCCCCGUUUGAGCCCGGGUAAGGUUCCUCGCGUAUCAACGAAUUAAACCACAUGUUCC